AUGGGGAGAGGACCCCACACACAGGAGAGGACCCCACACAUACAGGGAGAGAACCCACACACACACAGGAGAGGACCCCACCCACAGGAGAGGACCCCACACACGGGAGAGUACCCCACCCACACAUGGGGAGCAGAUCCCCCCCACCCACACGGGAGAGGACCCCACACACGGGAGAGGACCCCACACAUAGGAGAGUACCCCACCCACACAUGGGGAGCAGAUCCCCCCACCCACACGGGAGAGGACCCCACACACACAUGGGGAGAGGAUCCCCCCACCCACAGGAGAGGACCCCACAUAUACAGGGAGAGAACCCGCACACACACGGGAGAGGAUCCCACCCACAGGAGAGGACCCCACACACGGGAGAGGACCCCACACAUACAGGGAGAGAACCCACACACACACGGGAGAGGACCCCACACAUGGGGAAAGGACCCCACACAUACGGGGAGAGAACCCCACACAUACACGGGAGAAGACCCCACCCACAGGAGAGGACCCCACACACGGGAGAGGACGCCACAUAUACUGGGAGAGAACCCCACACUCACUCAGGAGAGGACUCCAUCCACAGGAGAGGACCCCAUCCACAGGAGAGGACCCCACACAUACAGGGAGAGGACCCCACACAUACAGGGAGAGAACCCACACACGGGAGAGUACCCCACCCACAGGAGAGGACCCCACACACGGGAGAGGACCCCACACAUACAGGGAGAGAACCCCACACACACACAGGAGAGGACCCCACACAUGGGGAGAGGACCCUAUACACAGGGAGAUGACUCCACACACAGAGGGAGAGGCCCCCACACAUACAGGGAGAGAACCCCCCACACACACGGGAGAGGAUCCCACCCACAGGAGAGGACCCCACACACACAUGGGAGAGGACCCCACACAUGGGGAGAGGACCCUAUACACAGGGAGAGAACCCCACACACACACGGGAGAGGACCCCACACACGAGGAGAGGACCUCACAGACCCAUGGGGAGAGGACCCUAUACACAGGAAGAUGACUCCAUACACAGAGGGAGAGGACCCCACACAUACAGGGAGAGAACCCACACAUGGGAGAGGACCCCACACAUACAGGGAGAGAACCCCACACACGAGGAGAGGACCUCACAGACAGGGAGAGAACCCCCACACACACACAUACACACUCCUACCAAAUUUUGACAUAUUCAGCACAGCGGGUGUUUCCAUAUAA
Molecule: long non-coding RNA, 1221 nt
Filed under: Oryctolagus cuniculus (rabbit)
Lineage: Eukaryota; Metazoa; Chordata; Mammalia; Lagomorpha; Leporidae
Description: lncRNA (ENSOCUG00000039218.1)
Source: RNAcentral